This 31-nucleotide non-coding RNA is filed under the name Homo sapiens (human). Lineage: Eukaryota; Metazoa; Chordata; Mammalia; Primates; Hominidae. The record is from RNAcentral.
UGAAGAGUUUGCCAUAGAUGGGCGCUUCUGC